GCCUUCGUGGUGUAGUGGCCAGCACGCUCGACGCGAAUUCGAGAGGUCCGUGGUUCGAGUCCCGGCGAGGGCA
Molecule: transfer RNA, 73 nt
Filed under: Stegodyphus dumicola
Lineage: Eukaryota; Metazoa; Arthropoda; Arachnida; Araneae; Eresidae
Description: tRNA-Ser
Rfam family: tRNA
About the family: Transfer RNA (tRNA) molecules are approximately 80 nucleotides in length. Their secondary structure includes four short double-helical elements and three loops (D, anti-codon, and T loops).
Source: RNAcentral